CUUUUCAGGCUCAAGCCAUGAGGUUGAGACCAGCUCUUGAGCAAGCUGUCCCUGCGGGUGUGCUCCCAGGCACACAACAACAGCUGUCCUGGGCUGUGUCCCUUUGAACUGACAUUUGAUUCACUGACUUCUACUGAGAUAAACAUCAUUAAGCCAGACAUAAUAAAAACCCAGUUUCAAUACAUAAAACUGCUCAAGAGAGACAGUAGACGACAAAGAGUUUCUGGAAGGAGCUACAAAAUUGGUCCAUAGCUUCGGGAUGAAGUGACUUUUUUUUAUGAACUCCAUCUAAUUGUGUCCUACAUGGAAACACCACAGCAGAACUUUGGGAGCUCAGGCUCCAUCAACUGCAUGUGAUGUUCAGACUCCACUCAACUUUUCAGUUGGCACCAGGCCACAGAGAGAACGGCCGUAUGCUAUUAGAAGGAAAAAUGCAUGCACCUUUACCUAUCCAUUUGACUGUCCACCCUCCACGGGAGCUGUGAUAUGCUCUGUGACGCUUCCAUUAGAGGAAUGCAGGACUCCCUCCCCAGGGAUAACGUUUGUCACAUUGCCAGCUCUGUUCUGCCACAUAUGUUUCCCCUCCUGUUUGACAAGCAGGAUCUCUCUAUUGCGAGGAGCAAAAACCACUUCAGUUAAUGCAUGAAGAAAGGGGAUCUUUGGAGUAACCAUAGAAUCAAGGAUAAAUGAUGUGCCCAAGGUCACACAGCUGGGAUGGAGUGGAAGAGAGAAGAGAAAAAUAAGGACUUACAGCAUGGAAGUCAGCCAGCUCCCAGGUGUGUGCUAUGUGCUCUUUUCUCUGGACUAUCUUCAUUACUGUCCCAGAUUUGAGGCAUUCUCAGCACAAGAAAAAGCUUUCAGCUUCUGUUCAGCUUCUUUUCAGGCCUCCUGAAGCUGGGUGCUCUUAGAAGGCUCCUCUUCGGUUAACUGAAGUGUUACUAUAGCAACAACAACACUGAAAACCAGAAUAGGAUGUUACACCCACAGACUCAGGUGUACAAACAUGUAACUUUAUUUUCUUAUAACUUAAGUUAACUUCUGACCUCAGGCCUUUAUUCUGCCUAAUCCAAGAAAUGUUAUUCGGGGCACACUUAAGCACAUUCAACAAAAUUCAGUCUUUCUCAGACCAUUUUGAUUUAAAAGUUACUAACUUGGGAUGGUCUCACCUUUCCAAGAAUGGGGUCAUAAGAUGAUGGGUGGUAUCAGGCUGAAGUUCUUUGGACCUUAAAGGCUGGCUGUGGCAGUUUGAAAGAAAAUGACCCCCAAAGGGAGUGACACUAUUAAUAGGAGUUACUUUGUUGAAGUAGAUAUAGCUUUGUUGGAGGAAGUGUGUCACUGUAGGGGCAGGCUUUGAGGUCUCUAUUGCUCAAGUUUCUCUCAGUGCAGCACUCAGGCCACUUCCUGUUGCCCGUGGGAUCAAGAUGCAGCUACUUUUUCCACUCUCAACUCCUUCUACAGCACCAUGUCUGCCUGCACGCCACCAUGUCCCACAAUGAUGAUAAUGGACUUAACCUCUGAACCGGUAAGCCAUCCAGUUAAAUGUUUUUUUAAACUUUAUAAGAGUUUCCAU
Molecule: long non-coding RNA, 1570 nt
Organism: Arvicola amphibius (Eurasian water vole)
Lineage: Eukaryota; Metazoa; Chordata; Mammalia; Rodentia; Cricetidae
Exons: 3
Source: RefSeq, a predicted model, not a curated record